Molecule: non-coding RNA, 46 nt
Filed under: Schistosoma curassoni
Lineage: Eukaryota; Metazoa; Platyhelminthes; Trematoda; Strigeidida; Schistosomatidae
Source: RNAcentral
GCACUGCUAAGGAGUCCCGUAAUAGGACGAAAUGGCCGUCCAGUGC